CUCAACUCCAGCGAUGUCAGCCCCACUCCCAGCGAAUGGGAGACGGAGGUGGUGUCACCCUCUGUGAUGUCACACAGAGUCAAUGGUGUGACGGGCGGCUUGGACGUUCACUUUCAGGUUCAGGCCUUCACCUCAGUUGGAGGAGGAGAGAGAUCUGACGACACGCAAACAAACACCUCGACUCUCUGGCCGGUCCCGAGGCUGCUGACAUCUGCAGAACACUCCGUUUCCGUCCUCGACCUCGACACCCGCCAGGUGACGGGGACCGUUCCGAUGGGA
Molecule: long non-coding RNA, 279 nt
Organism: Megalops cyprinoides (Indo-Pacific tarpon)
Lineage: Eukaryota; Metazoa; Chordata; Actinopteri; Elopiformes; Megalopidae
Exons: 3
Source: RefSeq, a predicted model, not a curated record